Long non-coding RNA from Heterocephalus glaber (naked mole-rat), 5298 nucleotides. RefSeq lists it as uncharacterized. The record is from RefSeq and is a predicted model, not a curated record. NCBI's taxonomy places the organism in Eukaryota, Metazoa, Chordata, Mammalia, Rodentia, Bathyergidae.
CCAGGCCCUCAUCCGAACUGAGAAGGCUCUCUGCAGCUUGACCUUUGCUGACCUCCAGAUUUUCUGGCAGUCACUGGAACCAGGGAUCAUGUUUGCAGAAAUCUGCUUGGCAUCAUUCCGUGACUUAUCUUUCAGGCCUCAUCACAAUUAUUCAUGCUUUGGCAGUAUCCUAGCUACAGUCACAGUCCUCCUCGUGGGCUAAUAUUGAAGGUUACUCUGUCCCAGCCAGUGGAGAAGGAAGGGGCCUCUCUCCUCAGGAUGGUGACUCCUGGGGGGAUGCACCCCCUGAGAGCACCAGCCCAAAGCCACUUCCAAUCUCCAGCCGUCUGGGCAGGCUAACACAGAACAGGAAUUGGUCCCCAAAUCAGGAACAAUUUGGCUUCUGAAUGCAUUCCAAUGCACACUCACUAUACACUUGGGACAUAUGUUCACACACACUCAAAUGCUAAACCCUCAGGCUGCCUCUCGACUCUAUAAAGACACAAUCUUUUACCUCUCCAUUACCCAUGGCAAAUAUUUUCUGCUUUUGCCUUUUUCUCUCUCUCUUUUUAACAUCCUGCUUCUACUCUGUGGCCCAUGCUUCCUGCUUUGUAUAUUUUAGGUUACUUUAGACAUGACCUCACAUCCUGGCCAAUUGCACAGUAGCUUCUAAUUGUGAGAGCUCUGCUAACGGACGGUACAUUUAUGCAGGGCAGGGGGCGGCGGGGGGCGGGGUGGAAUAGGUUAUAAGCAGCAGAAUACUGCAGGCAAUAAUCUAGCACAGGUUCAAGCUGGGGCCCUGAGGUUAGACAGACUUGGUUUAAUCUCAAACUAUCUGUGUGGCCUAGGGCAACUUGCUUAACCUCUCUGGGCCUGUUAUCCCAUUCCAGUGUUGAUCAUAAUAGCUCCUACCUCACAAGGUUGUUUCUAAGAUUAAUAGUGAAUAAAGCCUACAAAUGACUUAGCACAAUCAAGCUAUUAUCGUGAUUACUCUUUAGGCUUCCAAAUGAUGGAAGGACCUUCAGGUCUAGUGUAUACCCAUAGCUGAGAUCUUGCAAAGCUCUUCUGCUCCACCUCCACACCCCCAUCACUUCCUCCAGGAAGUAUUCUUUGGUUGAGUAGAAUCCACACAACAAUGCGUUUGCACUGUUUCUCACUGUUUGUGCCUUUCAGGUGUUUCAUACAGAAGCUGACACACUAAGCUUCUCCAAGAUCAAGAAGCCCUUCUUUUCAACUCCUUCAGUAGAUCUCCAGUAGAACAUACCUGGAGAGCACAAUUCCCAGUACCUGGCUGGACUCUCAGAUCAAAACACAGAGACCACCUUCCAAGCCAGGAUUUCGAUGCUCAGGUACACACAACUUUCUGAUUCAACUGCAAAAUGGCUCUCACUUAUCAAAGGCUUUCUUCUCCAGUGGCAUUAUCAGUGCCCAUCAGGAACAAGCACCCAGAGGCAGGAAGCGCUGACAAGUCUCCUAGACAACGUUCCAAGAUCCAUGCCUUCCUGUGUUGGCAGACGCUCGUCCAUGCUCUACUUAUUUUCCACAUUACUGUAUUUUCUAUAAUCUCUUUGCGGAGCUUUGCCUCGUACGUCCCCACCUCCCUCCAGGCUCCCACAGUGUCGUUUCCUCUCUAGGAUCUGCUUUGGAGAAUCCUCCAUGGCCGGUACAGAACCCCUGUAUUUGCUCCAUUCUCUGUUCCCCCAGAGCAGCACACAGGUCUUUAGGUUUCCUACUUGUCACUCUGAUUUUCCAGCCCAUGCAGAAGUGGCCCCCUUGCCAGGCCUUGAGAUUCCCAUGUGGAACUUUCCUGCCCACCUCUAGGAGAAUGUUGCAUGUACUGCUCUACUACAUCACUUCUGCUUCUAUGGGGAACCAGCAGCACUUCGUGUGCAGGGAUCAUCGGUUUAAACUGAGCCGCCGUCAUGUGUUGUGGCAGUUUUAUUUAUGAGCCUGUGUGCUGUAACCCCAUGGCAUAAAUAUUAAAUAAUAAUAUCCCCUGGGUGAAAAAAAAAUCAUUCAUGUCAACUGACAACUUCUUAUGAAAAUAUGAAGUAAACCCAACCACAAAACUUGGUAUUGACUAAUUUUAGAAAUUCAAGUGAAGGAAUGGCUUGCUCAACAGGUAGAUGCAAAGGCAGAAUUACAAUUUGCAUUUUUACACUCUCUUGCUUCAAGAAAUGCAACAUCCAAAAAGUAAAGAGUGUUUAAAAAAACACUCGGGCUGUGUGUCAAUUUUUGGUAGACUCAAAAUCUAAUUUCUACCAGUAUCCCCUAGGCAGUUUUUAGUUUCUGAGAAGAAACUACUCCAAAUAAUGACAAUGUCACAUAAAUGAGAAUUCUGGACAAUGACACUGCUCUUUUUUUUUUCUUUUUUUUAGUAUUCUGUGAAUUUCCUAUUACAUCAGUUUCAUGAUUCAGCAUUUUCCAUUUUAUUUAUUUACAGUAAUAUAUGGCAAGAUAACCCUAGGUUUCUGCAGGAUCCUGGAACAUAAGGUAGGCUGGGCUGUAAAGGUGCCGCCUUCUGUAAAUUGACUAUUGUUUAAGGGAAUUCAAAAACAGGAAAAAGCAAGCCCUGAAAGGAGCUGAGAAAAUUUACCCCACUGUGUUCUGAGGGUACCAAUGACUCUUGUAUUUAAAAUGAGUUGGUUCUGAAAAAUAGGGUACUGCCAUUUAGGUGACUAGUACAACAGAAGCCAGAAAGUGUGCCAAUCGCAAACUGACACGGAUAAGCCAAACACAGUCUCUGAAAUGACAAUGUUCAAGAUGCAGCUAAAGUCACCACUCUGAAGGGGGAAAAGUGAACUGGUGUUUGAUAUAAAUACGCACGGAGUUACUUGAACCCUAGCACCCCAUCAGGAUUUCCGCAGCAUUUACUUUCUGGAUACCGCUCUUUCUACAAAUGAACGAACAGGACCAAGAGGACAAGCAAGCCUGGGAGUGGGGGCAAUGUACAAUUCUGCACUGCCCACUGCCUCGACCCACAUGAUGAGAAAACCGAGGCACAGAGGGCCAGGGUACAAAGUCAGGCCACCUGGGUCCUGAGGGGCACUGUUAACCCCUGUCGAAAAGCAUCAGCCUGAGAAGAAGUUGCUCUUGAAUGCAAACUUUGUGAUUGCCAGAAUCAUCUAACAUGGUUUCUUGCCUAGUUCUCACUUCGGAAUUGGGUGUAUCAGCCAGUACAGGAGCAUUAAUUCUCCGUGUGACUACAGACAGGAACACAAGCAACAUUAACAAAUUACUGCUGAUGGAUAUGCAAAUGGAACAAGGACAAAUAUUAAAACAGCCCUAUCUCACUCUGCGGCUCCCUCAACUUGUCCGAAAUUCAUAGAAAUAAUAUAAUCCUCCUGGAAUGCUUAGCAAUUCAUAUAGGGUGACAGUCUUGAGGAAGCUAAUAAUUAUCCCUUGUUAGCAAGAUCAACUAACAGCAGUCUUUCACUGCAGGGACAGAAAAAUAUUGUGACUUGCUAUGCUAAGUGAAACACAGUAGUGGGAUAAAUUAGGACAUUUAAACUAACAAUAAUAAAGACAUACAGCUAUAGCUCCCUUCUACAUAUAACUGAUAAAACUAACAGAAAAUAGACAUGGCAUUAAUAGAAGAAUGCAUUAUGAAUUGUUGAUUGAGACACAAAGGGACAAAUAUUCUUCCAUCACUAUAUUGUUAUAGCUAAAUAUUUAUUAGACACCCACUGUAUGACUUUUCUCAGAAAUAAGGAUAACAAUAAAUUACUACCUGUCAACCACGUGUACUGUAACUUCAUUAUGUGACGAGGCAGCACUCUUAUUAAGUCUUUGGAAUCUAUUAAAAGUUUCAUUUUGAAAUGAACCAAAAGGAAUAAAUUUAUGAAUUGUAGAUCUCCAAUAUUAACCCAAAGACUCAGCCUUGGACAGAAAAAAAAUUCUUAGGAAAAAAAUUAAUUUCUGCCAAGGAAAAUCUAAGAACAUAAGUUAGCAGGCCCAACCAGAUGCCUCUGGUGGUGCUAUAACAAAGAUGAGUCAAAUAUAUAAUUUCACAGGAAAAAAAUUUAUAGACUAGUCUUUGAAUCAGGCAGCAUCCAAACACCUUCCCUGCCAGGUUCUCCAUCAAAUGUGUGAUAAACAGCAAUGGCCUUACACAUCAAGAUGCCCCUCUGAUCUCUAAUCUGAUCAGUAGCAUGUUUGUCACCUCUGCUGAUGUAUCCAGACAUAACUCACAUGCUCCAUUCAUCAGUUUGGUCUGGUUAGUGGAUCUGGUAGCUUGUUUGCAAAGUUGGUUGCUUCCUGUUGAGCGGUGGAAUCCAAUCCUUUCUGCCAUGAAUCUAGGAAGGCUUUGCCACCACUUUGAUCACAAGAAUACUAUAGAAGUAAUGUUUUGGCAACCUCCAAUCUCGGGCCUUAAGAGGCACUGCAGCAUCUAUUCUGGCUUUCUUAGAACACAGGACUCCUGGUAAGGAAGUCUCUCUUCUGGAGAGAGAAGCCCAGCCAACAGCCAGCCCCACUCACCAGUCUUGUCACGCCACCUUGGAUCAUCUAGUCGCCGCUGUGUCUUCCGUGACAGUUGCUGCCUAGGUGACUCCAGAAACGAUCAAGCUUAUUGUUUGGAGCUACUAAUCCUCAGAACCAUGAACAAGUAAUUCUCAUUUGAACCACAUGAAUUUGCAGGAGUUUGUUACACGGCAGCAGGGAAGGAGAAAAUGAACAGGGUGAUUGACACUGAAGAAUUCUGUCCAGUGCUUUAAGAGUGCGAUUCCGCUCUAACCCCUUCUAUGGAACACUGGCCUCUAGGACUGUGUUAAAUUCACAAAGCUAAGAAAUUUCUUCUCACUUCUUCCCCGUCACCUCUCAAAGCAAUUCACACUGAGACUGAACGUUCCACCUUCCUUUGAUGAUAAAAAUGAGAGACUCCGGAAUGUUUAUUCAAGGGGGACUGAGUUUUCUGAGCAUGAGAUGUGUUCAGAGGCAACUUCUGGUUCCCUCCUCUGCCCGGAUGAGCUCUGCUCAGCUGUGGCACCAUUGCCAAGGCCUGGGGCCAGCGUGACUGGGGCCACUGGCUGCUGUACUAGUCAGGAAUCUCAGAGAAAUAACCAACGGGCUGUACAGUCACCCUUUGAUAUCUGGGUGUUGCUUCUGGACCCAAGAGGAAUGUAAAAGCUUCCAGAUGCCCAAGUCCCAUAUAUAAGAUGGCAUAGUAUUUUCAUAUAACCUAUGUGUAUCUUCCUUUAUACUUUAAAUAAUCUCUAAAUUGCUCAUACUGCCUAGUACAAUGUAAAUGCUUUGUAAAUCAUUGCUCUACUGUAUUACUUAUGGAAUGAGGACAAGAGAAGUCUGUACAUGUUUGUUAGA